GAACUGGCGCCCAUAUGGGAUCCCGGCGUGUUCAAGGUGAGGACUUUAGCUGCUAGGCCACACUGCCGGGCCCCAGAUCAUAUCAUUUUUAAUAAAGCACAUGGGAGAAUGCAAUUAAUUAACAUGGAGCUAGAUAAGAUUUUACUGUAUCAUUUUAUCUUCCUCAGUAUUCCUAUAUUCUUCAUUUGAAUAAAAAACCUCAUUCUGAGAAUACCUGUUCAUUUUCUGUGUAAAGAUAUAUUAUUAAAUCCUAAGUCUUAAUGAGUGACUCACUCUUUAAGGAAAUGCUGGCUCUCGAAAUAUUUGUAGCAAGAUUUGUUUAAUUCUGCGAAUAUGUAUGUAGACUUUGGAAUUUUGGAUAUUCUGAAAGUGAGCUCCCUUGGGAGAAGCUGAUAAAUGGAUCUAUUUUGACUCAGUCUACUCAUGUAUAACUUGCUCUAUAACCCAGACCCAAUACUUUUUUGGGGUUGGUUAGGUUGCAUUUUUUCAAAUGUAUAUUUGUGUGGUGAAAGUGUUGGAGGUGUUUAACUGAACAGUUCUUCCUGGAGAAUAAAUUAUAAAACAAGUCCUUAUUACUGUGUAUAAGAUAACGAUUUCUAGGGAUUUUUUUUUUCCAUUAAAAAUAUGCUGGGCAUAUUUCUUAUUUCAAAUAGGCUUUUCCCUCUUUGCAGUGUUUUCAUUUAGCUAUGUAUUAUUACUGAGUAGUAAUUUAGAGAUGAAGAAAAACUGGGAAAUUUGGAAAAAUCGGAUUUUGUUUAUAAUUUCUAACAAAGGUAACCUAAUAUUUUUACUAUUGUACUAAUCUAGAAAUGUUUGAUUAUUUUUGCUGUUUAUUUUCACUAUAUAGUUGAAAAAGAAUGACUUAUGAAGAAAAUGUUUUUUCCUAAACUAUAAUAGUAUUGUUUAUAUAAUUUGAAAGCACUUCUGUAGCUCCUGUUUGCGCUAUGCAAGCGUUCCCUGCGGUAACUCUAACAUAAUGUUAAGUCUGUCUCAUGUGGAGGAGCUGCCCCUUAAGAACUGCACUGUGGUUCAUUGUUAAUCAUUUUUUUUUUUUGACUCUUGAAAAGACUUUCAGAUCUUUUUUUUUUUCUGAUUUGUGCUUCUUUCCUCUUGUCAUCCCUCACAUACCUCCUCAGUAUGAUAAUUCUGUAAGAUACUUUUAAAAAACCUGACCUAAAAAUAAGGGUUUCUUCAACACUGAGAGACUUCAGGACUUAAAAUCCGCUGGAAACUAACGAUGAAAAAAAAAAGUAGCUGUCAGAUCAUAGCAGACUUGCACAGUUAUCUGUUUGAUACCUUAUGCUGAAUGGUAAUUUCAGCUGCUGCUUUCAUAUUUCUUUUUUCAUUUCUUUCCUUUCACUUUUGGAAAUCGUAGAUUUGAUGGUGAAAUUUACAGGUUUUUCAUUUUUUAGGCCAAACUGUUUUGAUUUCUCAUGUGUGUAGAAUUGGAUAAUUUUUCUAACCAGGUGUUUGGCUUGUUCUUUUCAUCUUUUAGGCUUUUAAAAUUUAGUCUGAAUGUUGUUAGGUAAUGGAAUAACCAUUCCUUUUCAGCUUUUGCUAUAUUCCAAACUGGCUGCCAGAGCCAGGAACAAGUGAAGGCAUAAAACACUAACUUUGGUUGAUUGCUACCUUCUUAGUGCUGAGAUAAAACCUUUGUUGGUUGAUUGAUAGAGAUCAAGAGAGCACAAGCCUCGUUCCACUAACAGGUAAGGAUUCUUUGUCAUAAACAGUUGCUGUGAGAGGGAGAUUAUGUGAUAGCAUUUUAUCCUUAGUAUAGGACACUGUGACAUCAAACUAUUCCAUAGCUAGGGUAUGUAGCACCUUUACAUUUAGAACAAUAAAUGAGAUUUAAUAGGGUUGUUUCACCAAGUAUAAUUGGUCUGUUUUCCAAAGGUAGUACUGUUCAAUUUUGUCCUGCAGACCUGUAACUGUAAAUAUGUACCUCCAUAUCUUAUUCUCCUUUCAGCUUUUCCUUGAUCAGAUACUGUGUACUUUGAACUUCCUUCUCCUCUCCAUUUACCUUUUUAUAAUAAAGCUUAACUAUUUUCUGGUAUCUUUGCCAUCAUCUGUUAUUUGAGUAUAUCUUACUGCUUUAAUUUCUACAUUGUAUAGCCACUUAAUGAUCAUUCAUGGUCCUUCUUGACCCAAGGUAAAAAUGAUCAUGCAUUUUUAAAAGGGUUUUGAAUCUGCAUUAUCUGUGUCUGCUAUUCUGCCCUCCCAAGUUUAAAGAUAAGUGAUUUGAAGAAUCAGUUUUUUCAUGACAGUAAUCAUAGCUUUGAUGAAAUGCAAGUUGAGCUUUUUGUUGCUAUAAUAUGGACCUAGAGUGAUGAAUUCUUUAAAUGACCACUGAUUUGAAAACCUAGAAACAAAUUCAAUUUCUUAGAUACUCCCGAAGUUUAGUUGUAUUCCCGUUAAUAUGCUUCAUUGCCCUGUUUCUGCUUUUCAUUCCAUCAUCUUCUCUUUGAUAGAAGAAUUAACUGGGACUCCUCCUUUGGCGUCUCCGAGGUUGAGUGCCUUUUCCCUGUCCCCUUACGACAGCUAUGAUCUUAUUUCCAGUCAUAAUUUAUUAUUUUUUGGUUCAGUCUUCCACUCGAUGUUGAGUGGUUUGUCACAGAGUGUGUUAUGGCUUAAACCAAUACAGGUCCCUUCUUAAUUGUUCUGAAAAAUUAAACAUUUGUGUUGACAGAUUUUUAAAAUUCGAAUUAAGAAGGCAUUAAGGAAAGCAUACCUGAAGGUAGCUCCUUUUUAAUCCUGAGGAUAAGCCAUUACAAACUCAAAUGACCAGAUAAUGUAAUUUCUUAAUAAGAAGUUUUUCUUAAAUCUAUAUUCAGCUCUCUAUUUCAGUGCUUCUCUCCUACCAGAGGUGCAAGGAGUGAUCCUAGAACCACAGAUUCAGCCAAGACCACGGAGAGCUUUUGACGUCAGGGGUCCUCUUUCUCCACUGAACCCUUGGAGACAGAAUAUCCAGCUUCUGGAGAGAGUGGGAAAGGAUAAUAAACAAGUAUCUUGAUAAUGGGAGACCGGUUUAUUCUCUAAUUGCCCAGAUUUCUUUCAACUGGUAAAACAUCAUACUUCUUCAGCAAAAGGAAUUCUUCUAGCAGAGCCUUCAUGGAUGAUAUCUGUCACACAUGCCAGCAUCUGCAGUGGAAGGCAGUGGUGAAUGGAUCCAUGCAGUAUGUCUAGAAGACACAAGAAUGAGCCAGCCACCUGAUCUUGUCAUUUAUAAACUUUUAAGAUUUACUCUGGUUUAUUUACUCUUGGUCUGAACAUGGAAAGGCUCAAGUAAUCUUUUCAUAUUGGAAUUUUACAUGGCCAUGAAAAUAUUUCUUUCUAUUCAGAAGACUGACAUAGAGGAAGCUUGAGAGACUUCUUUCUUUAAAGCAGCUCUCUGUAUCUGUUCCAUUAAAAGAAUUUAUGAGAUUGAAAAUCACCUUGAUAAAGUAGGCAAGUAGUAUAGGAAAUCCAGAGAACAAAAAGAAAUGGUUUUUUGUUAACUUACACUGAAAGAAGCUGGUAAAUCAAAGGUGAACUUCUUAAUUAUUCCAAAAGCAUUUUUAAUACUAGCCUGUGCUCUUUAGCUCAUCUUUUGCUGAUCUUGAGCCUUAUUCUUAUUCUAUUUCUCAAAUCAACAAAAUCUAGUAUAGAAACACAAGAGACAUUUUAAAAGUAGCUUGAUCUGUCUUUUGAAAUCAUUAAUACCUGUUAAACUUGAGGUAUUGUUCCAAACUAAAGGCACAUUAAAAUUUGAAUGAUAGUGUCACAUAGCAGCAGUGAAUGGAGCAUUGAGGAUCAGUAGCAUUAGAAGAAGCUCAUGGGUGUAACUAAAUGUUAUAAAUUAGUUACCCAAACUGUCAAUAAUUGAUUGAAGCAGUUACCAAAAUGUUUUAUUUCUGUCUUUUAUCUUUUAACUGGUCAGUCAAAAGCUAUUAAAGAAACUUUUCAAAGUAAUCUAAUGCUGCCAGUUUGUUUUGUUUUGAUACAAAUUUUAAGAAUGAAAUCAUUAAAUUAUUAAUAUGACUGCAAGUAAGAUGUCUUAAAAAUCUCAAAGAUUUUUAGAAGCCACAUUUGCCAAAGUUCCUUACUUUUUCUUGGCUGUCCACGAGAAAUACCUUUUCGUUAUCAAUUUAAAAAUUUUCUUAGUACUUAAAAAUAAGUUUAAAAGGUUAGUUUGAACUAAAAUUUUCUUAGAGAGUUCUGAAUUACAGCUUUUCGUUACUGAUUUCUGUUAAAUAUUUAUUGAUUUACAAAUUAAAAAAACAGCUGCCCAACAUGUUAAAAAGAACUUAGGGAACUGAAAGUGAGAUUUACUUAGAAAUUAAGUUGGUUGAGUUCUUUGAACCACAGAACAAAACCAUUUUAUGGCCUGUGAGAUUAUUAGCUUUUUGUUUUAGCUUUGAAGAUGAAAAGUGAGUUAAUCUUUUAAUCUCAUGCUUUGAUGAAACUUUAGCGUUGUUCUUUUUAAAGUGUACAAAAGAAAUGUAAGUGCAUUUCUAUUUACCUCAUGCCACUAAAGCUAUUUAAAAGUGAAACAUUUUUGUAUAUUAUUGUGAACUGAUUUGUUUAUUUAAACUUUUAUUUUGAUGCAUUUUACUUUUAGUUUUUUUAUAUUUCGUGUCACAAUAUGCAUUUUUCGAUGUUUAUUUUAUGAAUAUUAACAUAAGCUAUUUUUUUCUAGAAUGAUUGUGUAAUAUUUGUAUUUGUGAUCAUUUGAAAACUAAUAAAUAUUUUGUCCAUGAAAAAAUGCACUUACUGAUAAAUGGCUUAUUUCUGUUUCAGCAGUAGAAAGUGAAAAUUGCAACAACAUUUUUAAGUGUAUUUUAAUUUUAUGUGUGUUCCGCUAAGCAUUUCUGAAUAUAAAUUAUGUCCUUUGUAUGUAACGGUUUUUUGGUUUUUUUUGAGAAAAAAUUUUUGAAACUAAAAAUGAUUCUUUAUGGGGGUCACCAUGUGAAUGUAUAUGACAUAGGUGAUCUGUUUAAUCUAUUUUUACAUUUUCUUAAUUGCAUUGUCUUAGCUUUGUUUCUGGAAUUGGAUUUUUUUAGAUACCGUUUUUAUACGUCAGUUUUAUAAACCAUUAAAAUUCGAGUUUGUAUUGUAGGUGUCAGGGAUAAUUUGGUCAAAUCUUUUAAAAAUAGGUUAGUCAAAUUAUAUCCCCUUACAAAAUGGCAGACAAGAACAGUUCUACCCAGAAAAAGAACAUUUGAAAAUGGUGGGUGAUUGGGGGACCACCCAACUGAUAACAACUACUUGCAAGAGGAUUGUUUGCUGUGUGAAUGUUCUGCUAGAACAGAUGGCUAGAAAAAUGAGAAAUCUUGACUUCUGAAUCUCUUGAGUAUUAUCAAAAUAGCAGAGGAAAGGGUAAAUUUUGGUUUUAGUGAUGUCUUUACAGCUACAUAAGCUUUACCCCAAUGUCACUUUGUCCUUUAUAUAGGACACCUAUGAAAAUUUGAGUGCUGAGGGUAACUUUCAGAUAAAUGUGUCAUUGAAGCACUUGCAAAAUAAUUGAAUGCUUGGAACAUAAUGGGUUAAUUGGGGUUGGUGGAAUAAUGCACCUUUUCUGUGUAGGAUCUGCUAGAAGCAAGGGGAUUUCCUUUUGAAUUUGGAGAAAAGUUAUAAAAAAAUAAACUUCAAAAAUUAAAAGUAAACACCUGGAUGGAUGUUAGGCAAGAAAUAAAAGUUGAAUUAAUGACACCCUGUGGCUUAAGAUGGUGAAAGUUGGUCCCCCCCCCCCAAAAUU
This is a long non-coding RNA of Ochotona curzoniae (black-lipped pika), 5734 nucleotides long. RefSeq lists it as uncharacterized. The record is from RefSeq and is a predicted model, not a curated record. Lineage: Eukaryota; Metazoa; Chordata; Mammalia; Lagomorpha; Ochotonidae. The transcript has 2 exons.